Molecule: ribosomal RNA, 274 nt
Filed under: uncultured bacterium
Lineage: Bacteria
Description: partial 16S ribosomal RNA
Rfam family: Bacterial small subunit ribosomal RNA
Source: RNAcentral
AUACGGAGGGUGCAAGCGUUAUUUGGAAUCACUGGGCGUAAAGGACGCGUAGGCGGGUUGGCAAGUCAGAUGAGAAAUCCUACAGCUUAACUGUAGAACUGCAUUUGAAACUGCUAACCUAGAGUAUGGGAGGGGGAGAUGGAAUUAGUGGUGUAGGGGUAAAAUCCGUAGAUAUCACUAGGAAUACCGAAAGCGAAGGCGAUCUCCUGGAACAUAACUGACGCUAAGGCGUGAAAGCGUGGGGAGCAAACAGGAUUAGAAACCCCAGCAGUCC